UGAGCGUCGUUGUAUGGAAGACUAGUGAUUUUGUUGUUCUACUUAAGAUGUAACAAGGAAUCACUAAUCAUCCUACAAAGACGCUCG
Molecule: non-coding RNA, 87 nt
Organism: Nasonia vitripennis (jewel wasp)
Lineage: Eukaryota; Metazoa; Arthropoda; Insecta; Hymenoptera; Pteromalidae
Source: Rfam